CAUAAUGUAGCUUAAUUAAAGCAUCUCGCUUACACCGAGAAAAUGUCCGUGGAAAUCGGACCUUUAUGA
RNAcentral lists this transfer RNA (69 nucleotides) under Rhinella ocellata (ocellated toad). Its description in RNAcentral is "tRNA-Val". It matches the Rfam family "tRNA". From Rfam's summary of the family: Transfer RNA (tRNA) molecules are approximately 80 nucleotides in length. Their secondary structure includes four short double-helical elements and three loops (D, anti-codon, and T loops). The record is from RNAcentral. Lineage: Eukaryota; Metazoa; Chordata; Amphibia; Anura; Bufonidae.